This 2091-nucleotide ribosomal RNA is filed under the name Enterobacter sp. Its description in RNAcentral is "partial 23S ribosomal RNA". It matches the Rfam family "Bacterial large subunit ribosomal RNA", at positions 1 to 2104 of the family's 2925-position model. Lineage: Bacteria; Pseudomonadati; Pseudomonadota; Gammaproteobacteria; Enterobacterales; Enterobacteriaceae. The record is from RNAcentral.
GGUUAAGUGAAUAAGGGCGCACGGUGGAUGCCUUGGCACUAGGAGCCGAUGAAGGACGGGACUAACACCGAUAUGCUUUGGGGAGCUGUAAGUAAGCUAUGAUCCAGAGAUUUCCGAAUGGGGGAACCCAAUAUCUUUUAUAGGAUAUUACUUUUCAGUGAAUACAUAGCUGAUUAGAGGUAGACGCAGAGAACUGAAACAUCUUAGUACCUGCAGGAAGAGAAAGAAAAUUCGAUUCCCUGAGUAGCGGCGAGCGAAACGGGAAGAGCCCAAACCAACAAGCUUGCUUGUUGGGGUUGUAGGACUCCAAUAUGGUAGUCUGUUAGUAUAGUUGAAGGAUUUGGAAAAUUCCGCUAAAGAGGGUGAAAGCCCCGUAGACGAAAUGCUGACAACACCUAGGAGGAUCCUGAGUACGGCGGAACACGAGAAAUUCCGUCGGAAUCCGCGGGGACCAUCCCGCAAGGCUAAAUACUCCCUAGUGACCGAUAGUGAACCAGUACCGUGAGGGAAAGGUGAAAAGCACCCCGGAAGGGGAGUGAAAUAGAUCCUGAAACCGUGUGCCUACAACAAGUCAAAGCUCGUUAAUGAGUGAUGGCGUGCCUUUUGUAGAAUGAACCGGCGAGUUACGAUUGCAUGCGAGGUUAAGUCGAAGAGACGGAGCCGCAGCGAAAGCGAGUCUGAAUAGGGCGAAUGAGUAUGUAGUCGUAGACCCGAGACCAUGUGAUCUACCCAUGUCCAGGUUGAAGGUGCGGUAAAACGCACUGGAGGACCGAACCCACGUACGUUGAAAAGUGCGGGGAUGAGGUGUGGGUAGCGGAGAAAUUCCAAACGAACUUGGAGAUAGCUGGUUCUCUCCGAAAUAGCUUUAGGGCUAGCCUCGGAAUUGAGAAUGAUGGAGGUAGAGCACUGUUUGGACUAGGGGCCCAUCUCGGGUUACCGAAUUCAGAUAAACUCCGAAUGCCAUUCAUUUAUAUCCGGGAGUCAGACUGCGAGUGAUAAGAUCCGUAGUCGAAAGGGAAACAGCCCAGACCACCAGCUAAGGUCCCAAAAUAUAUGUUAAGUGGAAAAGGAUGUGGGGUUGCACAGACAACUAGGAUGUUGGCUUAGAAGCAGCCACCAUUUAAAGAGUGCGUAAUAGCUCACUAGUCGAGUGACCCUGCGCCGAAAAUGUACCGGGGCUAAACAUAUUACCGAAGCUGUGGACUACACCAUUAGGUGUAGUGGUAGGAGAGCGUUCUAAGGGCGUUGAAGGUCGAUCGUGAGGACGGCUGGAGCGCUUAGAAGUGAGAAUGCCGGUAUGAGUAGCGAAAGACAGGUGAGAAUCCUGUCCACCGUAUGACUAAGGUUUCCUGGGGAAGGCUCGUCCGCCCAGGGUUAGUCGGGACCUAAGCCGAGGCCGAUAGGCGUAGGCGAUGGACAACAGGUUGAUAUUCCUGUACCAGUUGUUUUUGUUUGAGCAAUGGAGGGACGCAGUAGGCUAAGGAAUGCAUGCGAUUGGAAGUGCAUGUCCAAGCAAUGAGUCUUGAGUAGAGUUAAAUGCUUUACUCUUUAAGGACAAGUUGUGAUGGGGAGCGAAAUAAUAGUAGCGAAGUUCCUGAUGUCACACUGCCAAGAAAAGCUUCUAGUGAGAAAACAACUGCCCGUACCGUAAACCGACACAGGUAGUCGAGGAGAGUAUCCUAAGGUGAGCGAGCGAACUCUCGUUAAGGAACUCGGCAAAAUGACCCCGUAACUUCGGGAGAAGGGGUGCUGACUUCGGUCAGCCGCAGUGAAUAGGCCCAAGCGACUGUUUAUCAAAAACACAGGUCUCUGCAAAAUCGUAAGAUGAAGUAUAGGGGCUGACGCCUGCCCGGUGCUGGAAGGUUAAGAGGAUGGGUUAGCUUCGGCGAAGCUCAGAAUUGAAGCCCCAGUAAACGGCGGCCGUAACUAUAACGGUCCUAAGGUAGCGAAAUUCCUUGUCGGGUAAGUUCCGACCCGCACGAAAGGCGUAACGAUUUGGGCACUGUCUCAACGAGAGACUCGGUGAAAUUUUAGUACCUGUGAAGAUGCAGGUUACCCGCGACAGGACGGAAAGACCCCAUGGAGCUUUAC